GCAUGCCUGUCGGGACCCGA
Molecule: small RNA, 20 nt
Filed under: Arabidopsis thaliana (thale cress)
Lineage: Eukaryota; Viridiplantae; Streptophyta; Magnoliopsida; Brassicales; Brassicaceae
Description: Ath_wt_06158
Source: RNAcentral